GUGCGAGCUUCGGGAGGAUCGUGUGGGGAGGUAGGGCCACCUGUCUGCCAGCCAAACACUCAUUGAGUAUCUGGGGGACUCUGGUGGCCCAGCCAUACCAUACCAGGUUUCUCCCACACAUCCAAUUAACGCAGGAGAAGGAAUCCUGUUCAGCAAGAAGACAGGGAUCGUUGUGAACUGGGAUGGUGUGGAGAACUGCUGCCCUUUUCAGAGUGGAGGAUGAGUGAAAACAAACCGAGUUCGUUACCCUGAAGCUAAUCUAUAAACCUAACCUAAUGAGGAUCGGGUUUUCUUUAGUAAACCCAGAGUUUCAUUCACCCUUCUCUUACUUUUUAAAGCAAAAUAU
Non-coding RNA from Danio rerio (zebrafish), 346 nucleotides. The record is from Ensembl. NCBI's taxonomy places the organism in Eukaryota, Metazoa, Chordata, Actinopteri, Cypriniformes, Danionidae.